This 390-nucleotide ribosomal RNA is filed under the name fungal sp. RNAcentral's name for it is "SSU rRNA". It matches the Rfam family "Eukaryotic small subunit ribosomal RNA", at positions 827 to 1217 of the family's 1831-position model. The record is from RNAcentral. Lineage: Eukaryota; Fungi.
CGCGUGGUUCUAUUUUGUUGGUUUCUAGGACCGCCGUAAUGAUUAAUAGGGACAGUCGGGGGCAUCAGUAUUCAAUUGUCAGAGGUGAAAUUCUUGGAUCUAUUGAAGACUAACUACUGCGAAAGCAUUUGCCAAGGAUGUUUUCAUUGAUAAGGAACGAAAGUUAGGGGAUCGAAGACGAUCAGAUACCGUCGUAGUCUUAACUAUAAACUAUGCCGACUAGGGAUCGGACGAUGUUAUUCUUUGACGCGUUCGGCACCUUUCGAGAAAUCAAAGUGCUUGGGCUCCAGGGGGAGUAUGGUCGCAAGGCUGAAACUUAAAGAAAUUGACGGAAGGGCACCACCAGGGGUGGAACCUGCGGCUUAAUUUGACUCAACACGGGGAAACUCA